RNAcentral lists this ribosomal RNA (444 nucleotides) under uncultured bacterium. RNAcentral describes it as "partial 16S ribosomal RNA". It matches the Rfam family "Bacterial small subunit ribosomal RNA", at positions 338 to 795 of the family's 1533-position model. The record is from RNAcentral.
CCUACGGGCGGCAGCAGUGGGGGAUAUUGGACAAUGGGCGGGAACCUUGAUCCAGCGACGCCGCGUGAGUGAAGAAGUAUUUCGGUAUGUAAAGCUCUGUUAGCAGGGAAGAAAGCAAUGACGGUACCUGACCAUGAAGCCCCGGCUAACUACGUGCCAGCAGCAGCGGUAAUACGGAGGGGGCAAGCGUGAUCCGGAAUUACUGGGUGUAAAGGGAGCGUAGACGGCUGGGCAAGUCUGGAGUGAAAGGCGGGGGCCCAACCCCCGGACUGCUCGGGAAACUGGAUGGCUGGAGUGCUGGAGAGGUAAGCGGAAUUCGUGGUGUAGCGGUGAAAUGCGUAGAUAUUAGGAGGAACACCAGUGGCGAAGGCGGCUUACUGGACUGUAACUGACGUUGAGGCUCGAAAGCGUGGGGAGCAAACAGGAUUAGAUACCCUUGUAGUC